UACAGAGACUGCAAGCGUUAUUCGGAUUCACUGGGCGUAAAGGGUGCGCAGGCGGCCAAGUGUGUGAGGCGUGAAAGCCCGGGGCUUAACCCCGGAAUUGCACCUCAAACUACUCGGCUAGAGCAUUGGAGAGGGUAGCAGAAUUCAUGGUGUAGCAGUGAAAUGCGUAGAUAUCAUGAGGAAUACCAGAGGCGAAGGCGGCUACCUGGACAAUUGCUGACGCUCAGGCACGAAAGCGUGGGGAGCAAAAGGG
Molecule: ribosomal RNA, 253 nt
Filed under: uncultured bacterium
Lineage: Bacteria
Description: partial 16S ribosomal RNA
Rfam family: Bacterial small subunit ribosomal RNA
Source: RNAcentral